RNAcentral lists this small RNA (260 nucleotides) under uncultured Thiohalocapsa sp. Its description in RNAcentral is "5' ureB small RNA". It matches the Rfam family "5' ureB small RNA". The record is from RNAcentral. Lineage: Bacteria; Pseudomonadati; Pseudomonadota; Gammaproteobacteria; Chromatiales; Chromatiaceae.
AUGAAGUGGAUGUGGGCGUCGAUGCCGCCGGCGGUGACGAUCAUGCCCUCGCCGGCGAUGGCCUCGGUGCCGGGGCCGAUCAGGAUAUCCACACCGGCUUGCGUGUCCGGGUUGCCGGCCUUGCCGAUGCCGGCGAUGCGCCCGCCCUUGAUGCCGAUGUCCGCCUUGACGAUGCCCCAGUGGUCCAGGAUCAGCGCAUUGGUGAUCACGCUGUCCACCACUUCGUCCGCCUGCCGCUGGCACUGUCCCAUGCCGUCGCG